Molecule: ribosomal RNA, 844 nt
Filed under: Streptomyces sp. DST12
Lineage: Bacteria; Bacillati; Actinomycetota; Actinomycetes; Kitasatosporales; Streptomycetaceae
Description: bacterial SSU rRNA
Rfam family: Bacterial small subunit ribosomal RNA
Source: RNAcentral
CCGGUUUCGGCCGGGGAUUAGUGGCGAACGGGUGAGUAACACGUGGGCAAUCUGCCCUGCACUCUGGGACAAGCCCUGGAAACGGGGUCUAAUACCGGAUACUGACCUUCACGGGCAUCCGUGGGGGUCGAAAGCUCCGGCGGUGCAGGAUGAGCCCGCGGCCUAUCAGCUUGUUGGUGAGGUAAUGGCUCACCAAGGCGACGACGGGUAGCCGGCCUGAGAGGGCGACCGGCCACACUGGGACUGAGACACGGCCCAGACUCCUACGGGAGGCAGCAGUGGGGAAUAUUGCACAAUGGGCGGAAGCCUGAUGCAGCGACGCCGCGUGAGGGAUGACGGCCUUCGGGUUGUAAACCUCUUUCAGCAGGGAAGAAGCGAAAGUGACGGUACCUGCAGAAGAAGCGCCGGCUAACUACGUGCCAGCAGCCGCGGUAAUACGUAGGGCGCAAGCGUUGUCCGGAAUUAUUGGGCGUAAAGAGCUCGUAGGCGGCUUGUCGCGUCGGUUGUGAAAGCCCGGGGCUUAACCCCGGGUCUGCAGUCGAUACGGGCAGGCUAGAGUUCGGUAGGGGAGAUCGGAAUUCCUGGUGUAGCGGUGAAAUGCGCAGAUAUCAGGAGGAACACCGGUGGCGAAGGCGGAUCUCUGGGCCGAUACUGACGCUGAGGAGCGAAAGCGUGGGGAGCGAACAGGAUUAGAUACCCUGGUAGUCCACGCCGUAAACGGUGGGCACUAGGUGUGGGCAACAUUCCACGUUGUCCGUGCCGCAGCUAACGCAUUAAGUGCCCCGCCUGGGGAGUACGGCCGCAAGGCUAAAACUCAAAGGAUUGACGGGGGCCCGCACAAGCG